GCCUGACCUCGGAUCAGACGUGAUUACCCGCUGAAUUUAAGCAUAUUAUUAAGCGGAGGAAAAGAAACUAACAAGGAUUCCCCUAGUAACGGCGAGUGAACGGGAAGAGCCCAACACCGAAUCCCUUGGCGCAAGUCAACGGGAAAUGUGGUGUUAAGGUAGCCCUUCGUGUCAGUCUAGGCGUCUCAAGUCCACCUGAUUGUGGCUCAAGCCCAGAGAGGGUGUAAGGCCCGUAGAGACGCUCCGACUGAUUCCUGGGGUUUACCUACGAGUCGGCUUGUUUGGGAAUGCAGGCCAAAGCGGGUGGUAAACUCCAUCCAAGGCUAAAUACUGGCACGAGUCCGAUAGCGGACAAGUACCGUGAGGGAAAGUUGAAAAGAACUUUGAAGAGAGAGUUCAAUAGUACGUGAAACCGCUUAGAGGCAAACGGAUGGUGCUCAUACUGGCCUGAGGAAUUCAACUGUGACGGUGGCUGGACGAGCUGGCGUUCCGAUCUCUCUUUUGGGACGGGCGUCGGUUUGGCUAUCAGCUCCGACAUGGUGCACUUUCCUUGGUGCCUCCGCCACGACCGACGACACUGGCUACCCGCGGCUGGGGUAAGGUGACAAACUGCUUCGGCAAUUUGUGUUAUAGACCCCGGCGUCGGACAUGGUUUGGCCAGGACGUCGAGCUUGCGGCGCCCGCUCCUUGUGGGCUCGCAUGUUGGCUAGCUUGGCUGCGCCGAUGCUUGCACUGGACAACCAGUACAGGUGACGGUUGUGGUCUUGUCUCUAGUUGGCCUCUGCGAGUUUGGCGCCUAUAGUCUGUGGUGUACUUGUGGGUAGACUAUCCGACCCGUCUUGAAACACGGACCAAGGAGUCUAACAUGUGCGCGAGUCAUGGGGAUUCUACGAAACCCAAAGGCGCAGUGAAAGUAAAGGCCUGCUUCUCGUAGGCUGAGGUGGGAUCUCGUGCAUCGCGAUUGGCGAGCGCACCACCGGCCCGUCCUAUCUGUCUCUGUCAGUGGGGCGGCGCAAGAGCGUACACGUUGGGACCCGAAAGAUGGUGAACUAUGCUUGCGCAGCUCGAAGUCAGUGGAAACACUGAUGGAGGAGCGCAGCGUUUCUGACGUGCAAAUCGAUCGUCAAACGUGAGUAUAGGGGCGAAAGACUAAUCGAACCAUCUAGUAGCUGGUUCCCUCCGAAGUUUCCCUCAGGAUAGCUGGCACUCGGGAAACAGUUUUAUCCGGUAAAGCGAAUGAUUAGAGGCAUUGGGGUCGAAACGACCUCGACCUAUUCUCAAACUUUAAAUGGGUAAGAUGCUCGUCUCGCUUAAUUGGAGGCGGGCUUCACCUCUCUAUAAACGUGAAUGUGAGUGCCCAGUGGGCCAUUUUUGGUAAGCAGAACUGGCGCUGUGGGAUGAACCAAACGCGCGGUUAAGGCGCCCAAUGCGGACGCUCAUGAGACACCACAAAAGGUGUUGGUCGAUACUGACAGCAGGACGGUGGCCAUGGAAGUCGGAACCCGCUAAGGAGUGUGUAACAACUCACCUGCCGAAUCAACCAGCCCUGAAAAUGGAUGGCGCUGGAGCGUCGGGCCUAUACCGUGCCGUUGGGGCGAAGCAGACAAAUAAUCUGUGUGGAUGUCCCAACGAGUAGGAGGGUCGCCGUGGUGAGCGCAGAAGGUGCGGCCGUGAGGCCGGCUGGAGCCGCCACGGGCGCAGAUCUUGGUGGUAGUAGCAAUUACUCAAGUGAGAACCUUGAGGACUGAAGUGGAGAAGGGUUCCAUGUGAACAGCAGUUGAACAUGGGUCAGGCGGUCCUAAGCGAUCGGGUAACUCCGUACCUAGACGAGGGUGACAACUAUCACUGAUAAUACUGUGAAGUGUUAUAGCCCUCCGGAGCGAAAGGGAAUCGUGUUAAUAUUCACGACCCUUACCGUGGAGAUCGCCCCUUUCGGGGGGCAAGUGCGGUAACGCAAACGAACACAGAGACGUCGGCUGGAGCCCCGGGAAGAGUUCUCUUUUCUUUGUAAGGAGCGUACCCCCUGGAAUCGGCUUGUCCGGAGAUAGGGGCGUGGCUUCCGUAAAGCAGCGCGGGUCUUGCGCUGUCCGGUGCACUCUAGUCGGCCCUUGAAAAUCUGUGGGAGACAGUGUGAUUUUCACGGUAGGCCGUACCCAUAUCCGCAGCAGGUCUCCAAGGUGAACAGCCUCUAGUCCUAGAACAAUGUAGGUAAGGGAAGUCGGCAAAAUGGAUCCGUAACUUCGGGAAAAGGAUUGGCUCUGAGGGCUGGGUCGGAUGGGCUGGCGUAAGAAGCUGUUCCGGUUUUGGUGAGGACUGGGUGAGGCUUUCGGGCUUUACUCGGACCAUGCCGAGACCAGGCAGUAGACGACGUCAGCUGUGCUUGUCGUGUUUCGGCGCGGCAGCUUCGUCCGGCAACAAACAGCCAACUCAGAACUGGCACGGACUAGGGGAAUCCGACUGUCUAAUUAAAACAAAGCAUUGCGAUGGCUGUUGCUCGGUGUUGACGCAAUGUGAUUUCUGCCCAGUGCUCUGAAUGUCAAAGUGAAGAAAUUCAAUCAAGCGCGGUAAACGGCGGGAGUAACUAUGACUCUCUAUGUCCAGAGGUAGGAGGCAGGCCCCUCUCUGUGAUGCGGGAUGCAGGCAAAUUGAAAGGUUUGGGGCACAUUCUGCAAGCAGUGUAAUAGGACUUGGGAUAAGAGAGGGGCUAGGCAUGAUAGAAUUGUUGAGUUUGUUGGUAGUCAGGUGGAACGGCUAGGGUUCAAUGUUAUUAAAGGAGAAGUCUUUUGCGACUCCUAGGGGGGCAUAGACGACCUGAUCUAAUUAUAUAUAAUAAGGAUAGAGUGUGGAUUGCUGACGUCACGAUCUGUGCGGACAGAGGAGCGGGGCCUAUGGCCCUCGCGAGGGGACAACAAGAUCAAGUAUUAUACGGACGAUGAUCUAGCGACUGAGGUCGCGAAGGUGGCGGGCCCUGGUGCCCAGAGAGCGUUGUUGGCCUGGUUUGGAACUGGAGAGGGUGUUGCGAGAAGAAGACGGAUGAGUGGCUCAAGAAGAUGGGUGUGCCGAUCGAGUCUAGAAGGCUGGCUUCGGUCAGAGUGCUGGAAGGCUCGGUCUGGUGCGCGGAGGUGUUUAGAAAGAGAACUGGGAUAAAUUUCGCGCAGGUUGGUGGUCGCAAUCGGAGCGAGUAAGUGUCGUGUUUGUGGCUCCGGCGUUCGGUAACGUCCGGACCAGUUUCAGGCAUCCGCCCGGCAGUCCCGGCUGGUCCCAUGUAUAUGACGCUGCUC
This 3281-nucleotide ribosomal RNA is filed under the name Macrostomum lignano. RNAcentral describes it as "eukaryotic LSU rRNA". The stretch from base 4 to 2677 matches the Rfam family "Eukaryotic large subunit ribosomal RNA". The record is from RNAcentral. Lineage: Eukaryota; Metazoa; Platyhelminthes; Macrostomidae.